Perognathus longimembris pacificus (Pacific pocket mouse) is the source of this 461-nucleotide long non-coding RNA. RefSeq lists it as uncharacterized. The record is from RefSeq and is a predicted model, not a curated record. The transcript is spliced from 2 exons. Lineage: Eukaryota; Metazoa; Chordata; Mammalia; Rodentia; Heteromyidae.
UCUUUUUGCUGAUUAAUUGAAGAUAAGACUUUUCUGCCUGGGCUGGCUUCCAACGGGGCCAGAUCUGACUCUCCUGAGUAGCUAGAAUUAUAGAUGUGAGCUAACAGUGCUAGGCUUAGGCAUACUAUUGAAGGAAUGCAAAGGCAAUACCACUCUCAAAACUUAGGGCUGGAGAUAGGACUCCAUAGUAGAACAUUUACUUGACAUGUGUGAUGCCCUGAGUUUCAUCCCCAGCACUGCAACUGACCAGCCAACCAAAUCUGAGAUUAUAAAUUCUUUGCUAAAUCUGAGGAGUAAGAUGAAUUUUAAGAAGAUAGGUAGAAGAUAGGUAUUUUAUAGUGGGAAAUAAAUAUUCCAACUAUUCACAAUGUAGAACUAAAAAAGGCCUGGGAAAUCAGGGCUUCCACCAUGGUCUGCUCAGCUAGCUUUUACUUCCCUCUUCCUAACCAUCUGGGCCUUAA